UAAACCUGGCAUCUACAGGGAGAUAACUGAUGGAAACGUCAGCUAAGACCGCAUAGGUGUGGAGAUCGCAUGAACUCUAUAUGAAAAGUGCUACGGGACUGGUAGAUGAUGGACUUAUGGCGCAUUAGCUGGUUGGUAGGGUAACGGCCUACCAAGGCGACGAUGCGUAGCCGACCUGAGAGGGUGACCGGCCACACUGGGACUGAGACACGGCCCAG
Molecule: ribosomal RNA, 218 nt
Filed under: uncultured bacterium
Lineage: Bacteria
Description: partial 16S ribosomal RNA
Rfam family: Bacterial small subunit ribosomal RNA
Source: RNAcentral